Molecule: ribosomal RNA, 906 nt
Filed under: Triticum aestivum (bread wheat)
Lineage: Eukaryota; Viridiplantae; Streptophyta; Magnoliopsida; Poales; Poaceae
Description: partial small subunit ribosomal RNA
Source: RNAcentral
AUGUUGGAGCUGCCCCUGGUGAAGGGGGACCCCUUCCACCAUGUCAUGGAGGCGAUCCUCGACCUGUCCGAUGUGGCCCACGUCGUGUGCACCACAAGGGGCUUGAACCUCCUGGCCGUGGACACCAAACACUUAGCGAUCGUCUCGCUCCUCUUCCCCGCCGAGGACUUCAAGGGCUACACCUGCGACGAGUACAUCUCCAUUGGGAUCCCAAUCCGCGACUUGGUCAAUGCCAUCCGCUGCGGCGACGACAAAGACACCAUCACCCUCAAGGUCGGCGAAGAAAACUUCGGCACCAUUACCUUAUCAUUCGUGUCGCCCGAGAAGAACACUGUGGAUUACGAAUUCCGGCUUGUGGAUGCCAAACUCGAGCGCUUUCGACUCCCAGAUAGGCAUUUUUUGAGAUCCAAGUACCAGGGCUCUGUCAAAAUGCCAUCUGUGGAGUUUAGGCGGAUCUGCAAGUGCCUCAGUAACUUCGGAGAUGAAUAUGGUGUCAUCUCGGUGACUGACGAGGACCUCACAUACUUUGCUAAGGGAACAGAUGGGGACGUCUACGUGGAGUACAAGCAGCAAGAAGAAGAUACUACUAUCUUUAAAAUAGAUGUGCGAGAACCAGUUAGACUGGCCUUUAAUCCGAAGUACUUGAACACCUUCGCCAAGGUGUUCACCCUCUCUGGUCAAGUGAAGCUCUUUCUCUCGAAGACACAUCCCCUCAUGGUCGAAUGCAAAAUUGGACAGAAGGGCCGCAUCAGAUGUUUCGUGGCACCAAAGGUGGAACCAGAGUUCCAAGGGGAAGAGGAAAAGAAAGAGGCCCAAAAAGAAGAAGUUAUCAAUGUAGGCAAGAUGGAAUCUGAUACCGAUGCAAACAAGAAUAAGAAGAGAAAGAGAAAGCUAACUGAUGACUAG